This 462-nucleotide ribosomal RNA is filed under the name uncultured bacterium. RNAcentral's name for it is "bacterial SSU rRNA". It matches the Rfam family "Bacterial small subunit ribosomal RNA", at positions 76 to 534 of the family's 1533-position model. The record is from RNAcentral.
UAACAGGUUAAGCUGACGAGUGGCGGACGGGUGAGUAAUGUAUCGGAACGUGCCCAGUCGUGGGGGAUAACUGCUCGAAAGAGCAGCUAAUACCGCAUACGACCUGAGGGUGAAAGCGGGGGACCGUAAGGCCUCGCGCGAUUGGAGCGGCCGAUAUCAGAUUAGCUAGUUGGUGGGGUAAAGGCCUACCAAGGCGACGAUCUGUAGCUGGUCUGAGAGGACGACCAGCCACACUGUAACUGAGACACGGUCCAAACUCCUACGGGAGGCAGCAGUGGGGAAUUUUGGACAAUGGGCGAAAGCCUGAUCCAGCAAUGCCGCGUGUAGGAUGAAGGCCCUCGGGUUGUAAACUACUUUUGUACGGAACGAAAAGACACUCUCUAAUACAGGGGGUCUAUGACGGUACCGUAGCAAUAAGCACCGGCUAACUACGUGCCAGCAGCCGCGGUAAUACGUAUGGUG